CCCUCGAUAGCUCAGUUGGUAGAGCGGAGGACUGUAGAUCCUUAGGUCGCUGGUUCAACUCCAGCGCGAAGGA
This 73-nucleotide transfer RNA is filed under the name Gadus morhua (Atlantic cod). Its description in RNAcentral is "tRNA-Tyr (GTA) (tRNA-Tyr-GTA-25-1)". It matches the Rfam family "tRNA". From Rfam's summary of the family: Transfer RNA (tRNA) molecules are approximately 80 nucleotides in length. Lineage: Eukaryota; Metazoa; Chordata; Actinopteri; Gadiformes; Gadidae. The record is from RNAcentral.